AAAAAUUAAAACAAUGACAUGUAGAUUUUGACAUUUUGUCAAUUAUAUAUUUACAUAUGAUUAGAUCUCAAUGAUAUAACUCAAAACCCCUCAAUUAUGGCAAAAAUGCUCCUGUUGCUCUGGUUACUUGUAGAUCUUCUCGUAUUCAUAAUCACAGUUGCACAAGAUGCGCAACCUGUAGGGGUGUGUUACGGAAGAGUCGGUGAUGAUUUGCCAUCGCAACAGGAUGUGGUGAACCUUUACAAGAUCAACAACAUAACCAGAAUGCGAAUUUAUGAUCCAGAUCGAGCUACACUUCAAGCCCUAAAAGGAACCAAUAUCGAACUCAUCAUCGGCGUUCCUAAUGAUUCUCUGCAAUCCCUAAACCAACAAAGCGCAGCGAACACAUGGGUUAGGAACAACAUUCAAAAUUACUCCGACGUCAGGUUUAGAUACGUCGCCGUCGGCAACGAAGUCGAUCCAAACAACGCGAAUAGUCAAUACGUAAGUUACGUACUUCCGGCGAUGCGAAAUCUACACAACGCCAUUACAGCCGCCGGCCUAGGGAACCAAAUCAAGGUGUCGACGGCAACCUACGCCGGUUUGUUAGGCGUCUCCUAUCCACCAAGCAACGGCGCGUUUAAUGACAAUGCACGAGAGUUUAUUGAGCCGAUAAUCAAAUUUCUAGCUGAAAACAACUCGCCAAUGCUUGUAAACAUCUACCCCUAUUUUGUAGACGCUAAUGGCAAUCUACUGUAUGCGUUGUUUUUGUCACCGGGAACAAUUGUGAGUGAUAACGGCCGGAACUACUCGAACCUCUUUGACGCCAUUUUAGAUGCUCAUUACGCAGCUCAAGCAUCUGUUGGUGGAGAAAAUGUGGAGAUUGUUGUGUCGGAGAGUGGGUGGCCAUCGGCAGGAGGUGAUGCGUGGACAUUUCAGACCGCAGAAACUUAUUAUACGAAUUUGAUUGCACAUGUCACAGGGAUAACAGGGACACCGGCGAAGCCUGGAAGAUCAAUAGAGACGUAUUUGUAUUCAAUGUUUGAUGAAGGAAUGAAACCUGGAGCAGAAUCGGAGAGACAUUUUGGGAUAUUCUAUCCAGAUAGACGACCCAAAUAUCAAUUAAGCUUCAACCUCAUCAAAUCAAGAAAUGGAAAGAUAAGUGAAAGAUAUGGACUUCUUUCUGCCUUCUCUGUACAAGGGUUUUGAGAAGAAGCAAAGUAUUCCAUAUAAUAAUGCGCCAAAUCUCAUUUAGGCGAGAAGAUGUGUACCAGAUAAUUCUUUGGAGCUCAUUCCUAUGAGCCGUAUCAGACUAUCUUCUUCAUAAGGUUACUACCGUUUGCAUUCCCUAUGCUGAUUGGUGUUGUUGACAAUAAUCUGGUUGUACAGAGAAGUAGAGAUGUAUAUUGAUAUUCAAUUGUGUGAGUACAAAGAGUACAAUGAAUAAAUAUAUAGUAGCUAAUGACACUUGUAUUCCUAAAUACAAGGUCCUAUACUAGGUCUUCAUAUUGAUUGAGAUUGAGUCACGUGUUAUACAUGUGUACAUCUUAGAUUACUUUAUCACCCCUGCAAGCUCAUGAGAGGGACGAACUUGAAGUUUGAGAUGAAUGACAACAAAGUGAUCCUUAGGAAGAGCUUUAGUGAAUAUAUCUGUCAAUUGGUCUUCCAAAGCAACAUUGGAAAUGGUGAGAUCUUGAGCUUCAACGUGUUCUCGAAUGAAAUGAAAAUCCAGGGCAAUGUGUUUGGAAUGUGUACUUACUACCGGAUUUUCGGUCAUGAAGAUUGCACAAACAUUGUCGCAUAAUAGUAAGGGAGGAUGAAUUACUAGAAUAUGUAACUCAGACAUAAGUUGUCUAACCCAUAUAAGUCCAGUGUAUGCCAAGGCCCUAUAUUGGGCUUCUGUACUAGCCCGUGUUGCUACCUUUUGUUUCCAAGAUGUCCAACUUAUAAGAUUGUUGCCAUGAUAAAUUGCAAACUUGUAUUGGGAGCGACUGUCCAAUCGGCAUCCAAGAAGGCUAGGUGUGAUGAUUUGCUUGAAGGUGAAAAAUGUAAACGGUGAUCAAGUGUACCAUUAAGAUACCUUAAGAUUUUUUUUCACUGCUAAUGAGUAGUUGUCCAGGAAUGCAUGUAUUGACAUACCCGAUUAACUGCAUAGGCAAUACCAUGGUGGGUAAUUGUAGCAUAUUGUAGAGAGCCAACAAGUCGUCAAUACAUUUUUGGAUCAGAAAAUAAAUUGUUCACCUUUUAGUGUUAGUCGGGAGUUCGAGUCGGUAGGUGUAGAUAUAUGCGUAGCAUUACCCAUUUGGCUUCGUUAAAUAAUAUCUCAAUUAUAACUCUCUUGACUAAGCAUUAGACCCAUGGAUUGUCUUUUGAUUUGAAUUCCAAGGAAAUAAUGCAAAUCACCAAGUCUUUGAGUGAAAAAAAUUGGUUAAGUUUGUUGAUGAACUGUUGAAUAAGCACCGUACCUAUGAAGAUCAAAGCAUCUACAUAAACAAUAAUAUAGAUCACAUCCAUGAUGGAGACAUGAACAAAUAAUGAAGUAUACGAUUGAUAUGCAUGAAAUCCUUUUAUGACAAGAUAAUUCUUUAGCUUAGUGAACCAAGCUCGAGGAGCUUGUUUGAUCCCAUAGAUAGCCUUAUGUAGUCGACACACAAGAGUUGGACUGUUGGGGUCUUGGAACCUGGAAGGUUAUUUCAUAUAAACAUUUUAUUUCAAGUCACCAGAGGAAAGCGUUGUUGAUAUCCAAUUGACAAAUGCACCAACCAUUUGAAAUAACAAUAGAUAGAACUAUUCGGAUGGCAAUGGGUUUAAUGAAUGGACUGAAAGUCUCAAAGUAAUCGACCCCUUCCUCUUGACUGUAACAUUGUGCUACUAAUCUCUCCUUAUAGCGUUUAAUUGUACCAUCCGAUUUUCGCUUGAUCCAGUAAAUCCAUUUUCAACCUACAAGAUUCAUAUUAGGUGGACAAGUAACAAGUGACCAUGUGUUAUUUCCCAUUAGUGCAUCAUAUUAAAGUUGCAUAGCUUGUUGCCAACCGGUGUGCUUAAUGGCUUGUUUAAAAGUAUGAGGCUCAAUUCAAAGAUCAUACAAAACAGAGGUGGAAAAAGCUUUGGGUUUUAAGGAGUUUGUACAAGCUCUAGUGAUCAUGGGAUGCUGACUCGAGUCAACAGAUCGAUAGUAUGCAGGAGAUAUGUCACGUUGUCUUGCUCAUGAGCUAGCAGUAGGUGUUUGAUGGUGAGGAGUAAGAAAAGAGAUGACGGUUGGAGUGGUGGAAGGUGAGGAAGUUGGGUGCUAUUAGAAGGCGGAGUAGGUGAAGGGUUAUCAGAGUAGGUGAAGGGUUAUCAGAGUUGGUGGAAGAUAUAAUGGUAACUUGUUGUGAAAGAUUGGUGGAUACUAAAGUGGAGGGAGUGGGAGAGACGGUGGGUGACAAAAGAGUAUUCUUAGAGUAUAGAAAUACAUCUUCAUUAAAGAUGACAUGACGGGCAACGUAAAUGCGAGAAAAGGGAGUAUGGAAACAUAUGUAGCCUUUGUGAGUAGCACUGUAGCUGAGGAAUACACAAGGUAAGGAGUGAAAAUCAAUAUUAUGAUUGUUGUAUGGACAGAGAAAUGGAUAACACAAGAAGUCGAAAGUCUUUAUAAAUGCAUAAUUUGGGACUUUGGAGUAUAGCUUUUGAUAUGGGGACAAAAAAGUAAGGACGUGAGUGAUAUGUCUAUUGUGGAGAUAUGUUGCGGUUUUGAAAGCAUGCUCCCUAAAGGUGUGACGGAGAAAUGAUUGUGCUAAAAGAGUGAGCCCUUUUUCAAUUAUGAUGCAAUUUUUGCAGUUAACCGCACCAUUUUGCUCUUGCAUAUAAGGAUAUGAUACACGAUGGAUAAUACCGUGAGAUGAAAGAUAUUUGGAAACAUUUCUAUACUCUUCACCCCAGUCGGUUUGUAGGCUUUGUAUUUCGCUGUUAAAUGGAGUUUGAACCAUUUUUCGAAAUUUCACAAAGGUAUGAAAUACUUGAGAUUUAUGAGAUAAAAAGUAAAUCUAAACGGAUUUAGUGCAAUCAUCAACAAACAAAACGAGAUAACGAUUUCCAUUAAUAAAAAAAUGGGAGAUGGCCCGUUGUAGUUGAAAUGGUUUUGUAGAAGAAAGAUGAGAAUUAUUUAAAUGUAAACGAUGACUUUUGCCUUAUUGACAAGAGUCACAAACAAAAGGAAAGUGAUUGGAAGAAGUAGGCAGCUUGAAUAAGGAGAGAAGACGCUUUAGAAGUGGUGCAUGAGGAUGAGCUAACCACUUGUGCCAACCACGAAGAGUGGUGUGAACUCAUAUGAAAGCCAUGCUGGGUGUUUUUUUAUUUGUGGUGGAAAGGAUACAGUUGAGACCUUGGUCAACGUUCCCUUGGAGGAUUGUUUUGCCUUACAAAGACUUAACAUUGUCAUGAGAUGGCCAAAACUCUAGAUAUACAUCAUUAUCCUCGGUUAUUUUAGAAACACUCAAAGAUGUUUUGUCAUUUGUGGAACUAUAAGCACAAAUGGCAACUUAAUAGAAUGCAAAUAAGAUGAAGCAAUGUGAGAAAUAACAGGGUAAGUAUUGUUACCGACUUAAAGCUUGUGAGGACCAUAUUAUUCAUCUGCAACAUUCAUCUUUUGAAGGUCUGGGGCUACAUGAUCUAUGGCCCUUGUAUUGAAGUACCAAGAUGGAUUAACCACUGUGAAGCGACUCUUGUGGUAAACAAGGUUAGCUUGUCGAGAUUGGUCUCUUGGAUUUGGUCGUCGAGAGGGGUAAUCAGUCUGAUUGGAGUGUUGCCAUCAAUCCACUGCCUCAUGCCCUGGUUUCGAGCACAACUUUUGAGGACGACGACAAUGGUAUUCAUUUGAGUGAAACAUAGAACCGGUGUUAGAGGAGGACCCAUAGCCCGUAGAAGGAGAUCGAUAUUGAUGUUGAUUGACGUUGAGAUCAAGUGGAAUCGAAGAGGUGGGAAGCGAAGGUGAAGUGACUGGUGAUUGACGAAGAUGUCCAUAUUCCAAGCGAGCUUCCUCCUGUAGAAGCAUACCAACGAGGUCAUCAAUAGAAGUUUGAUCGUCUUUGACCAUGAAGGUUGUGAUAAAAGGGACAUAUUACGUGUCAAGUCCACCAAGAAUGUGACCGAUUAAAUCUUCAAGAUGAAAUGGGAUGAAGAUUUUCAGCCAAAGAAUCAGUUAUGGCGCGUUUCCGUUCCACAUAUUCGAGCAUGGAGAGGGAACCCUUGGAAAUCGACUGAAGAUCAGAUUUCAUAGACAUGUGGCAAGCCUUAGUUUGGGCCAAAUUUUUUUUCUCAAUGGCAAUCCAAGACUGACGAAAAGAAGAGGAACGAGCAACAAUUGCUAGGGCUCGUUCAGAAAGGUUGGAUUUUAUCCAAAGUAAAGCAAAUUGAUCCCUUUUUCUAGAGAGUAAAUUCAAGGUAAGGUUAGGUGAUGUGAUAGGAGGGCCUUCGGUGGGGGAGAUGGUGGCGGUCUCUGAUGGAGGAUGUCACAACUAGAAAUUUUUGGUGCCUUGUAACUACAACACUUAUGUCAAUUAUUAAUCAAAAACAUGAAAGCAUGCAUGAUGCUUACUUUAUGACAACAAAAUUUCAAUUAAACACUUCAUACAAGCACUGCAAAUAGUCAACAAACAGUUGGAAACCUUAAAAAUCCUUGUUUAAGUCCAUUUUGGAUUAGGAUUUCCUUAUUGGGCCCAAUGGACCAAUAAGCUUCCAAUUGGAAUAUCAUGGGCUCUAAUUGGACCCACUUUCAUUCAUUUUAAUAUUUUGGGCCAUAUUGGGCCUAGAAUGAAACAAAAUAUUUAAAUGGACCUUAUUGGGCCAUAAUUAACUUAAUUUAGCCCUAAUAGGUUAUAAAAAAAAUCAUAUUUAUAUUUAUUUGGGCCAAACAUCACAUAACAUAACCAUGAAAUAGGCUUAAACAAUAACAGUUGUACUAUUUCAAUGCAUGGUGAUGAAUGAUGUUAUGAUUCAUAUAUAAUCAUUGUGAUGAUAUUCAAUUUAAGUCACAAGAGCCCUCAGACGUUUCCGUCGUUCGGUUCGGGGGUGUGACAGAGGAUUUAGAGCAAUAACGAAGGUCUCUAAUUAGAACGUUUCGAAAACGGAGAUAACAGUGGAUCGCCAUAGGGAGUAGUUGUCUCUAUCGAGUUUGAUGUUGAGAGACGGAAUCUGGAAAUUAAAGGAAGAGUUGGUAGCAAGUCCGAGCAAGAGAGAAUUGGUAGCCAUAAACAAAAGAUGAGGUAAAAAAAACUUUAAUCGGCUCUUCAUACCAUAUUACAGAGAAGUAGAGAUGUAUAUUGUUAUUCUGUGAGUUCAGAGAGUAUAAUAGAGUAUAAUGAAUACAUAUAUAGUAGCUAAUGACAAUUGUAAUCCUAAAUAUAAUGCCCUAUAUUAGAUCUUCAAGAUUAACUAAGAUUGAACCAAAAGGUCUUUGGCCUAACGGUAAAGAGUGACUCUCUCAAAUGAGAUAUCAUAGGUUCAAGUAUCUCUAGGAGACAUAGGUGGUAUUUGGAAGUAAGUUAGUUUACCGAUUCAAAAAAAUAUUUACUGAGAUUGAUUCACCUGUUAUACAUGUGUACGUACAUCUUAAAUUACAUGUAUACAUCUAAGAUGUGGAGAAAUGAAGAAUUGUUACUGGUGGUUGUGUAUACAUGGUGGAGUGAUUGGCUUAUAACCAAUAGUUGAGGAUCAUAUUCUAUAGACUCCUUAUAAUUAGCAUAAUUUGUUGUAUCAUGUAUCCUUUUAGUGCUAAAUUUGAUAAAGAAACAUUUGAUGCAACUAUAAUUUUCUUGAUCAAUUUUCAAAGAUUUUGCCAAGAUAUGUUGUGUGCACGGAACAUUAACACAAAAUAUAAGGAUUUUUGUUUUGAAGGUAAAUCUAAGCAAUUAUGACUCGGAUAUAUAGAAGAGAAACAAAAAAAUCAAGUAUCAUUUGAAAUAAAAAAGAAGGAAGAGUUUUUGUAUAACAUAUUUUUUGAAGUGUUUGACUAUAUGAAGAUUAAUCUCUAUGCAAUAUUAUAGUUAAUUAUAUUUGUUUGACAUUUACUUAUUUUUGGGGGUGUUUGGAUAGGUAAAAAAUAGGUUGCUUAUUGCUUAUUCUCACCACAAUAAGCAAAGUUUAAGUAUUUGGAUAAGAACCUUUAAAAAUCAGCUUAUUAUGGUAGGAAUAAACUAAAUAAGCUGAUUUUAAUAAGAAAGGGGGAUGCUUAUUGCUUAUUUUUAAUGAUUUGAAAAUUUACCAAAUUACCCUAAAAAACCAAUACGUAACCCAUAAACCCUUUGUCGAUCACCAAAUCCUUCACAGCAGUUCUGUCGUUCGCUAUUCCUGCUCGUUGUUUGCCAUCGACGACCUGGAAGCAAUCGACGAUCAAGUCAGGUUUGCGUAUUCUUUUUUUUCGCCUUGUAUCAAUCGACUAGAUGAUUUGUUCUUGUUUUUUUUCGUCUGGAAGCAAUUGGAACCCUUCUCGAUCAACAAAUAUGCUUUUUUUCCUCAUGCAUAAUCGACGAGUUAUUGAGGCUAUUUGUUUCGUCAUGCAUAAUCGACGAGCAAUGGACAUACAUGGACGAUUGCUUCUUUUUUUCUUCAUCCUUGAUUGUUCUUGUUACAGAAAAUUCAAAAGUUUCUUUUGAUUGCUAUUGAUGCUAUUUGUAUUUUGCUUCUAACUUUUGCUGCUACAGAAUAUUCAGAAUUAUCUUUGAUUGCUAUUGAUGUUACAUGUUUUUUUGCUUCUACUUGUAUGCAUUUUUGUUUGCUAUUCAUGCUACAUGUUUUUGUUUUUUUUCUUCUUUUGAUUCAACAUUAUGGUGAAAAUUCAAAAUUUUCUUCAUUCAAUAUCAUGAUUUAUAAGUAAUGGACACUGUCGAUGUUCAUGAUGUGGAUAUUGAUACAUCCAAAGUGAAAGUUACAAAUAGAUUUCAUUGGGAUCCUCAUACAUUCAAGAUACAUCUUGAGGAAUGUAUGACCGAGCUAAAAAACGGGAAUAGACCGAAUACUUAUUUCAAUAAGUCCGCGUGCCAAAAUAUAUGUAAGAGGAUUUUGGAACGAACCGAUAAAGAUUUGGACAUACAUCAAAUGAAAAACAAAUGAGACAUUAUGCAGAAAGAGUUCAAAUAUUAUGACCGUUUAACAAGAUUAGAAACGAGAAUUUCAACUGAUCCCGUGAGAAAUAUAAUCUUGGCAUCAAAGGAAUUGCGGGAUGAGAAAAUAAAGGAAGAUAAAGAGCAUGCUAAGUUUAAGGAUACGAAUUUGGAUGUAAAUCAGAUAUAUUACGAGGCUUUAUUUCGGGAUACCGUAGUUGUUGGAGACAAGGCUAAGGUACCUUGCGAAUUUGGCGACGGUAGCACUCCGGAUGAUGUACAAUUUGUGGAUAUUACGGAUGGAAAAGAGGAUACUGACGAUGUCUGGUUAUUUGAUGAUGUUGAUCCUUUUCUCACAUAUAAUAGUUCUAGUAAGAAAAUGAGGGAAAAGAAGUUAACUCCCAGGUAUGACCACAAAAGGAAAUUUGAAGGAAAAAGUAUGGCAAACUCGUCAUAUGAAGAGAAACUAGACACUGUUUUUGAUGUUUUGUUAACAAUGAGCACUCAGCCCUCAAGACAAACCACACAGUCACCGACAACAGAAGAUUGCAUGGCAAUUGUGUCUACUUUCCCGGGUUUUGAGGAAGGCUCAAUAGGAUAUUUAAAAGCGUUAGAUGUCUUUUUAAAGAAGCCAACUCGUCAGAAUUUUAUGGUUCCAAAGACUAAUGAAACAAAGAUGAAGUUUCUCAAAAGGCUUAUAGAGAAAUAGAAGUAGUUGAAGACAUACUCUACUUUUAUGUCAUGUGUUAGUUUCAUGUUUGUUUUGUGGUCAAAUUUUGCCCUUACCCCAUGAUUUUGCUUUUGUUUCCCUUUCCAUGAUUUUAUCUAUUAGUUUGACUUUAAA
Lactuca sativa (garden lettuce) is the source of this 8901-nucleotide non-coding RNA. Lineage: Eukaryota; Viridiplantae; Streptophyta; Magnoliopsida; Asterales; Asteraceae. The record is from RefSeq and is a predicted model, not a curated record.